This 94-nucleotide ribosomal RNA is filed under the name Saimiri boliviensis boliviensis (Bolivian squirrel monkey). Lineage: Eukaryota; Metazoa; Chordata; Mammalia; Primates; Cebidae. The record is from RNAcentral.
UGUUGUCUCCAGAUUUUUUAAUGAUCGCCCAAUCUCAUCUGAUCUCGGAAGUUAAGCAGGGUCGGGCCUGGUUAGUACUUGGAUGGGGGACCAC